UAUAGGAUAUAGAAAUUGAAAUCGGAUCCGUGAGUGGGAACGCUAUAUAACUUUGCGCUUUUACUUACAUUAAAUGACGUGCAGAUUGUCUAAACAAAUCUAAACAGAUUGUAUAAAACCUAAAUGUCACUGUCAGCCGCGAAUAACGCAAUUUCAUCUGCAUACAUAUAAACUUACACGUCCUGAUGAGGGGGGAUGGAGCUCAUUAGUAUAAUAAAUAAUACUGCACACAGGACUGCUCCUUGGGGAACACCGCAAUUCUGUCUGAAUUUAGAUGAGGAACAGCCAUCCUUGUAGUAAUAAAAUUCUCUUGAUCUCAAAAAUUCUGCCGACCACGCAAUAUUAUAAUUUGGGAAAUUAUGACUCUAUGUAAUAUCCAGUAAAGGUGGAUGUUCAACGCUGUCAUAUGCUUUAGAUAUAUCUAAUGUCACUAAAGCAGAAUAUUGUCUCCUUUUGCGCGCAAGUUGUAUGCGUCUCUCUAAAUCAACAUGGGUACACCAUAUUGAGCAAUCAACUCUGAAGCCUAUUUAAUUUGGACUUAAUAUUAAAUUAUUCGUCCUCCAGGUAGUAAUUGUGCAAUGUAAUACCCUCUCUAUGAGCUUGACCAUAUUAGAAGAAAAAUAGGUCGUGUACCUCUUCUUCUUUUUCACCCUUCUACCUGGCACAUACGCACAGUUGGAGAUUGGUAAAGAACGUCUUUAACUCAAAUUAGAGCGUUUAUUACAUGCGACCGCCAAGGUAUUCCUUCCUUUUUAUAUUCUUCUUAACACUAACGUGGGCUUCGGAAACAAUAAUUUUUUUCUCUCUUCUGUCUGUCGCCUGUCGCAAAACUGCGGGAGGGAGUUUCACCGCCCAGAACUAUAUAAUCGUUAAUAGGUGUCGACAUCUCGAAAAUCAGAAGUUACAGAGGCACUUAAGUCAUCUUACGUGCAUUGAAUGCGAAAGCACUCUGACUCUUCCUCGCCAUACUUUUCGCUUGGUCAUGGGCUCGAAUUGGGCAAAGUCAAUUUUGAGGGUUUACCAGGUAGGUUUUCAACGUGGUUCAAUUCAGUUUUUGAAUUGGGAGAAGUCAUUUUUUUUUGUUUGUUUGUUUGUUUGUUUGUUUGUUUGUUUUUUUUGUUUUUUUUUUGGGUGGGGGGUGGAGGGGUAUGGGUUGUGGCAUCCGAGCGACACCGUUGCUGUUCACCGUGGUAUGUCGCAGUGCGAGCCGCAGCAGGACCGGCGCCGGGAUCGUGACGUCAUCAUUUGGUCACGACGCAAUGGCGUACCGCGACAUGCUGUGCAGCCGAUCAGCUUAAAGGGACAAGAAACCUGGCAUCUCCUUCCAUGAAAUCACUGUGGAUGAAAAUCUCCGAGAACAGUGAUUAAGGCAAUCUGGAAGGAUGACUGGAUACCAAACACGACGUCGAAUUAUUCAAGAGUAUGCAGCCGGCAUGUCCAAGAGGCAGACUUCACAGAGGGCAAGCGGCGUUGCCUCAAGAAAGGUGCUUUCUCACCAAGUAGACAACUUGGGUCACUGGAUAUGUGCCAUGGGUAUGUCACCAAUCAAAACAUACGCCAAGCUCAUCAUCUUGCUUGUCAACCAGUCUCUCUCCAAGCGAAUCUGCAGACGGCCAUUUGGAGCAACUGAGUCCUGGAGGCAGACUGCUAGCUUUCGAUUUCUGGAUGUCAGCAAGGUUGCAGCUUGGAAUACUGCUUGACCCUCCUUGCCCAUAGUCGUGAGACAGUGGUUCACCGUAUACAGCCAUGCCCCAAAUAAAGAAAUAUGCAUUGCAGCUAGCUGCUUUUGGUUGUGUGUAGUCAGCUAUAUGUAAAGAUGCAACUUUAUUCAUUCCGUUUAAGUAAUUCUAUCCCUGUAGGCCUGCUGUGCUGAUCGAUUGCACAUGUUAAUAAAAAGAGGGAAAGGGGGGUCUGCAAAAAGGUGACACAACACAAGCAAGGCGUCUAUCCAUGUUUCAAAAAUCAGAGGUACGAUCUCUCGAGGCCGCUUCGGCUUCUGAGAAAGAAGCUGAAUUGUCAUCGCAACAUUAGGACUCUGAUUUUAAAAAUUGGAUGGAGAUAUUUCUCUCUUCAUUAUUGUCUCACACAAAUAGGUUCUGUCUCUCAGAUUCACAGCUCACCUUCAGAUUCAACACACACCGAACAUAUUCACAGACAGACUCAGAUUUCACAGACAGAUUUCAGUCAAAGAUGUUUAGAUAUAUCAGAAAAGACAACAAAAUGUUAGGCCUGUAUUACAGCACCCACGCCAGAGGAUCUGCCCCACAGGCCACAUAAAACACGGCUAAAGCUCUCCGAUGACUGCAGUUCAUCCAGCCAUGUAACCUGCGUAUGCAUGGUGUGAAGGACAAAGGUACAGCCUGUGGAGACAACUCGAGGCAUUUUCAUGUCAGAUGCUAACGACAGAAAUGAAACGUUAAUGUUCGGUAUGCUACGUUCACACCUAGCAGGCAACGCUGCCGUGCUAAAGAGGUUCCGAUCUACGAUGCUAGCCACGUCACAUAGUGACAUCAUAUUUUGCAAUUAUUUCGUGUGUGACACGCUAUUUUUUGGUCACGAAUAGAGCAGUGAGACAAGUUGCUCUAGCCUUCAUAGCAUUCGCCUGCUAUGUGUGAAAUGUGCU
Long non-coding RNA from Dermacentor andersoni, 2623 nucleotides. RefSeq lists it as uncharacterized. NCBI's taxonomy places the organism in Eukaryota, Metazoa, Arthropoda, Arachnida, Ixodida, Ixodidae. The record is from RefSeq and is a predicted model, not a curated record.